ACCACAUCUAAGGAAGGCAGCAGGCACGCAAAUUACCCAAUGAACGAAGUUCGAGGUAGUGACGAAAAAUAACGAUAGCAGACUCAUCCGAGGCCUGCUAAUUGGAAUGAGUACACUUUAAAACCGUCCCCGAGGAUCUAUUGGAGGGCAAGUCUGGUGCCAGCAGCCGCGGUAAUUCCAGCUCCAAUAGCGUAUAUUAAAGUUGUUGUGGUUGAAAAGCUCGUAGUUGGAUCUCAACAGACCCGGAUCGGUUUACUUUGUGUAAUACUGAUCCGGACCUGUGCUUUUGCUGGAGGUUUAGGGGUGCUCUUAACCGAGUGUCUCUGAGUGCCAGCAGGUUUACUUUGAAGAAAAUUGGUUGCUCAAGGAAGGCUGUUAUGCCUGAAAAUUUGUGCAUGGAAUAAUAGAAUAGGAUGUUGAUCUUAUUUUGUUGGUUUUCAAGACUCGACAUAAUGAUUUAUAGGGACAGUCCGGGGGCAUUUGUAUUCAAACGACAGAGGUGAAAUUCUUGGGACCGUUUGAAGACAAACUACUGCGAAAGCAUUUGCCAAGAAUGUUUUCAUUAAUCAAGAACGAAAGUUAGAGGUUCGAAGGCGAUUAGAUACCGCCCUAGUUCUAACCAUAAACGAUGCCAGCUAGCGAUCUGCUGACGUUUUUACUGUAGACUCAGCAGGAAGCUUCCGGGAAACCAAAGCAUUUGGGUUCCAGGGGAAGUAUGGUUGCAAAGCUGAAACUUAAAGGAAUUGACGGAAGGGCACCACCAGGAGUGGAGCCUGUGGCUUAAUUUGACUCAACACGGGAAAUCUCACCAGGCCCGGACACUGGAAGGAUUGACAGAUUGAUAGCUCUUUCUUGAUUCGGUGGGUGGUGGUGCAUGGCCGUUCUUAGUUGGUGGAGUGAUUUGUCUGGUUAAUUCCGAUAACGAACGAGACUCUGUCCUGCUAAAUAGUGUUAUCUUCUUUUUUGAGAUGACAAUUCUUCUUAGAGGGGCUGGCAACUCUUAGUUGCACGAGAUUGAGCAAUAACAGGUCUGUGAUGCCCUUAGAUGUUCUGGGCCGCACACGCGCUACACUGAAUAGAUCAGCGUGUCACCCUUCCCGAAAGGGACGGGUAAACCGCUGAACCCUAUUCGUGGUAGGGAUCGGGGCUUGCAAUUAUUCCCCGUGAACCAGGAAUUCCCAGUAGGCACAGGUCAUAAGCCUGUGUCGAUUACGUCCCUGCCCUUUGUACACACCGCCCGUCGCUACUACCGAUUGAACGUUUUAGUGAGGUCCUCGGAUUGUGAUUCAGCUGGUUCACGCUGACUGUUUUGCGAGAAGACGACCAAACUGAAGUGUUUAGAGGAAGU
This 1348-nucleotide ribosomal RNA is filed under the name uncultured marine eukaryote. RNAcentral's name for it is "SSU rRNA". It matches the Rfam family "Eukaryotic small subunit ribosomal RNA", at positions 409 to 1783 of the family's 1831-position model. The record is from RNAcentral.